Molecule: long non-coding RNA, 1155 nt
Filed under: Numida meleagris (helmeted guineafowl)
Lineage: Eukaryota; Metazoa; Chordata; Aves; Galliformes; Numididae
Description: lncRNA (ENSNMEG00000001673.1)
Source: RNAcentral
AUGGAAUGGUGCUUGAAAGGCUGGCAGCUUGAGAAGCUCCAUUUGCCUUGCCAUCCUCCCUGCUGUGGCUGCUUCUGCAGGCAAGGGGCUGGAACUGCAAAGCAGGGAGAAAUGAGCCUCGGGACUCAGGGCCAUGCUUCUGGGGAGUGGGUGGAUCUUCUGGUCAUACCGGUUCUGUCUGCAAAACAGGCACACUUGGAGAUAAAUAAUUACUGCAUUGCAUGGGUCAGAAAGAAGGAUGGAGAGAUGAGAGAUUAUCCACAACACACGGUGCCAAUCCUACAUCCAGCUAUCUUCACGAAUCAUGGAAAACAUUGUAAGCUAUGUGCAAUUUGCUUAAAUUUUAGAUUUGUUGAUGCAAUUUGCAACAGAUUAUAUUGCCCUAACAUUUUAAAGGUAUUAGGUUGUCAGAAAGCCUAUAAUUAAAAACUACUUUAAAAUAUCCUUCUCACUCUGUACAACCACCUAUCAAAACCUUCUUUUCCUUUUCCUGAGACUUACUUCUACAUUAGUAUCUGAAAUCUCUCACCUACUUGCUCUUCACACGUAAUAGACAACAUUCUGGCCACAUUCACCUAUAAAAAUAGGAAUGUAGUUCAUCCCAACAGCUGCUGCCUUUAGUAGAAUUUUCCCUAGCAGUGGCUGGCAGUCCCUAGGAGGACUAUCAGGUUCCCCUUUGUAAGAGACGAAAUGAUCAAUGUCUGUCAAUCAAACAAAAACCUGUCUGGAAAAGGGAAAAAGGGACUAAGGAAGUAGAAAAAAAACCACCACACCAUGAUAGUAUGUUUGUAAUUUAAAAGUUACGAGUGACUUCCAGAUAUCAAGGAAGAAAAAAGUAAUUAUUUAUAUUUGGCAUGAUUUUCAAAGUUGUCAUUGUACCUAUAGGUUCCUUCUGAAGUCAUCAUAAACUGUGGGUAUUCAGCACCUUUGAAAACCUUGCCAAAAUUGCCUUUAGACUGUAAGCUCCUUAGGGCAGAGACCUGUUACUCAUUUGGCAAAUUGUAUUGCAUUCCUCCUUUGCCUAAACCAGAAUGUUUGCGUAAUAAUAUUAGUAAUAACAGAUAUCAGAUUGGUGCUAGAAUCCAGAAAUAUCUGAUGUGGUUCUAUACCUUCUUAUUAUCUCAAAACAUUAAAUAAAAGCUCAUUUUAUAGGCA